RNAcentral lists this transfer RNA (75 nucleotides) under candidate division WWE3 bacterium RIFCSPLOWO2_01_FULL_39_13. RNAcentral describes it as "tRNA-Met". It matches the Rfam family "tRNA". From Rfam's summary of the family: Transfer RNA (tRNA) molecules are approximately 80 nucleotides in length. Their secondary structure includes four short double-helical elements and three loops (D, anti-codon, and T loops). Lineage: Bacteria; candidate division WWE3. The record is from RNAcentral.
CGCGGGGUGGUGGAGGAGUUACCACGCGAGGCUCAUAAUCUCGAAACCCAGGUGCAAAUCCUGGCCCCGCAACCA